AAUCGCAGAAGCAAAGAUAUGCCCCGGUGAGUUCUCUCCUAUGGACAGAAGAAAUUUGGCUAUCAUUCCCUCUUUCAAUUCCCUCCAAGUUUGCACGGGUCGAUGAUGAUCUAGCCAUUGAAACCACUCCCAAGCUUCACCGUCCAAACAUGCCGUAGCGGCUUCCACCUUUUCCCUCUCCGACAAUUGAUUCCUUGCGAAAAUCUCCUCUGCUUUCCAUAGCCACCAAUUUGGAUUUCCAUUGUAGAAUAUUGAUAUGUUUAGUCGACCUAGCGAAUCCAAUCCUGAAUCCUUUGCUCGGUCUCCUCCUCGUUGCAACAUUAUGUGAUCAAAUCGCUUGAAUAGCAAGCUCCAUUUCUCCUCCAAUUCCUCGCUGAAUUUUGUUUCCAUCUUCCUAGAAUCGAGUGCUCUGAUACCAAUUUGAUAGGAACCCUGCUGCUGUUA
RNAcentral lists this long non-coding RNA (444 nucleotides) under Olea europaea subsp. europaea. Lineage: Eukaryota; Viridiplantae; Streptophyta; Magnoliopsida; Lamiales; Oleaceae. The record is from RNAcentral.